CCCUUAGAUGUUCUGGGCCGCACGCGCGCUACACUGAUGCGUUCAUCGAGUUUAUCACCUUGAUCGAUAGGUCUGGGUAAUCUUUUGAAUACGCAUCGUGCUAGGGAUAGAUUAUUGCAAUUAUUAAUCUUGAACGAGGAAUUCCUAGUAAACGCAAGUCAUCAGCUUGCAUUGAUUACGUCCCUGCCCUUUGUACACACCGCCCGUCGCACCUACCGAUUGAAUGACUCGGUGAAACAUUGGGACUUUUUUGUUGUGGGUGCUUUAUUGUGCCUAUGAGAGAAGGAACUUUAGUGAACCUAUUCAUUUAGAGGAAGGUGAAGUCGUAACA
RNAcentral lists this ribosomal RNA (331 nucleotides) under uncultured eukaryote. RNAcentral's name for it is "partial 18S ribosomal RNA". It matches the Rfam family "Eukaryotic small subunit ribosomal RNA", at positions 1470 to 1796 of the family's 1831-position model. The record is from RNAcentral.